RNAcentral lists this ribosomal RNA (419 nucleotides) under bacterium. RNAcentral's name for it is "partial 16S ribosomal RNA". It matches the Rfam family "Bacterial small subunit ribosomal RNA", at positions 355 to 776 of the family's 1533-position model. The record is from RNAcentral.
UGGGGGAUAUUGCACAAUGGGCGAAAGCCUGAUGCAGCGACGCCGCGUGGGGGAUGAAGGCCUUCGGGUUGUAAACUUCUUUUGCUCUGAACAAGGCGCACCAUGGGGUGUGUUGAGUGUAGGGGUUGAUUAGCGCCGGCUAACUACGUGCCAGCAGCCGCGGUAAUACGUAGGGCGCGAGCGUUGUCUGGAAUUAUUGGGCGUAAAGGGCUUGUAGGUGGCUGGUUGCGUCUGUCGUGAAAGCUCAUGGCUUAACUGUGGGUUUGCGGUGGGUACGGGCUGGCUUGAGUGCAGUAGGGGAGGCUGGAAUUCCUGGUGUAGCGGUGGAAUGCGCAGAUAUCAGGAGGAAUACCGGUGGCGAAGGCGGGUCUCUGGGCUGUUACUGACACUGAGGAGCGAAAGCAUGGGGAGCGAACAGG